GGAAUGGAGUGGGGUGCUCUGGCACCCCGUGGUCUGGCCAGGCCGUGAACUGGAACUGCCUCACCUCUCUCUUCUCGCUGGAGCCAUUCUGAAUACGGAGUCGGAGAAAGGGCUGUUGGUGCCGCCCGAUAAUGUCUUCAAUCAUCUCUCCUGUCAACACGGCUAAAUCUAGCUGCCCUUGGGAAAAGUUGUGAAAAGGAAAUCAAAGGGGCCACUCACACGGGAAUCAUAGGACAGAAGAGACAAACAUCAGCAU
This is a long non-coding RNA of Larimichthys crocea (large yellow croaker), 256 nucleotides long. RefSeq lists it as uncharacterized. The transcript is spliced from 3 exons. The record is from RefSeq and is a predicted model, not a curated record. NCBI's taxonomy places the organism in Eukaryota, Metazoa, Chordata, Actinopteri, Sciaenidae.